AACGCACAUUGCGCCCGCUAGUAUUCUAGCGGGCAUGCCUGUUCGAGCGUCAUUUCAACCCUCAAGCCCUGCUUGGUGUUGGGGCCCUACGGCUGCCGUAGGCCCUGAAAGGAAGUGGCGGGCUCGCUACAACUCCGAGCGUAGUAGAAUCCUAUCUCGCUAGGGAGGUGUGACGUGCUCCGGCCGUUAAAGAACCCAUCUUUAACCCAAGGUUGACCUCGGAUCAGGUAGGAAUACCCGCUGAACUUAA
Molecule: unclassified non-coding RNA, 250 nt
Filed under: uncultured Coniochaetales
Lineage: Eukaryota; Fungi; Ascomycota; Sordariomycetes; Coniochaetales
Description: sequence contains 5.8S rRNA gene, ITS2, 28S rRNA gene
Rfam family: 5.8S ribosomal RNA (bases 1-52)
Source: RNAcentral